AUUGAACGCUGGCGGCAUGCCUUACACAUGCAAGUCGAACGGCAGCACGGGUGCUUGCACCUGGUGGCGAGUGGCGAACGGGUGAGUAAUACAUCGGAACAUGUCCUGUAGUGGGGGAUAGCCCGGCGAAAGCCGGAUUAAUACCGCAUACGAUCUACGGAUGAAAGCGGGGGACCUUCGGGCCUCGCGCUAUAGGGUUGGCCGAUGGCUGAUUAGCUAGUUGGUGGGGUAAAGGCCUACCAAGGCGACGAUCAGUAGCUGGUCUGAGAGGACGACCAGCCACACUGGGACUGAGACACGGCCCAGACUCCUACGGGAGGCAGCAGUGGGGAAUUUUGGACAAUGGGCGAAAGCCUGAUCCAGCAAUACCGCGUGUGUGAAGAAGGCCUUCGGGUUGUAAAGCACUUUUGUCCGGAAAGAAAUCCUUGGCUCUAAUACAGUCGGGGGAUGACGGUACCGGAAGAAUAAGCACCGGCUAACUACGUG
This 486-nucleotide ribosomal RNA is filed under the name uncultured bacterium. RNAcentral describes it as "partial 16S ribosomal RNA". It matches the Rfam family "Bacterial small subunit ribosomal RNA", at positions 30 to 507 of the family's 1533-position model. The record is from RNAcentral.